RNAcentral lists this long non-coding RNA (443 nucleotides) under Actinidia chinensis (golden kiwifruit). RNAcentral describes it as "long non-coding RNA (ACHI_LNC002720)". Lineage: Eukaryota; Viridiplantae; Streptophyta; Magnoliopsida; Ericales; Actinidiaceae. The record is from RNAcentral.
ACUGAAGCCAAGCAUACAAUUAGUGGGAUUCUGGUAUAAUUUAAUUCCUUUGAUUUGGGGAUGUUAUGUAAUAUUCACAUAUAUAAAGGGGUGUAUCUUAUGUAUUAGACACACAAUUUAAUACAAUGUGAUCCAUCGAUCAAUGGAGAAGAGAGCCCCUAUGGGCAAUAAUGUGUCCGUUGAUGUAGGUCAGUAUGGCCGAAUCACGUUAAUUUUUUUUAUCUUCUUUCAUAUUCUUCUAUUUCUCUGUCUCAUCUUUAUCCAUCUAAAUUUUAACAUCUUUGCAGGCAAACUUUAUGUGCAAUACAAAAUCCAUCGUCUGAAAAUGUUUAUCAACAAGGCUGGCCACUUGUCCUCUAGCUAGCUCAUUAUGCACAAUAAAGAAUUAGAUUAUCCUUCUAUCAUAUCCUAUCUUGUAGGUGGCCUCUCAUGUUUCUAAUUUC